UAUCGCUGAGAGAUGAGCUCGCGUCUGAUUAGAUAGUUGGUGUGGUAACGGCAUACCAAGUCGACGAUCAGUAGCCGGACUGAGAGGUUGAACGGCCACAUUGGGACUGAGAUACGGCCCAGACUCCUACGGGAGGCAGCAGUCGGGAAUAUUGCGCAAUGGAGGAAACUCUGACGCAGUGACGCCGCGUGCAGGAAGAAGGUUUUCGGAUUGUAAACUGCUUUAGACAGGGAAGAUAAUGACAGUACCUGUAGAAUAAGCUCCGGCUAACUACGUGCCAGCAGCCGCGGUAAUACGUAGGGAGCAAGCGUUAUCCGGAUUUAUUGGGUGUAAAGGGUGCGUAGACGGGAGAACAAGUUGGUUGUGAAAUCCCUCGGCUUAACUGAGGAACUGCAACCAAAACUAUUUUUCUUGAGUGCUGGAGAGGAAAGUGGAAUUCCUAGUGUAGCGGUGAAAUGCGUAGAUAUUAGGAGGAACACCAGUGGCGAAGGCGACUUUCUGGACAGUAACUGACGUUGAGGCACGAAAGUGUGGGGAGCAAACAGGAUUAGAUACCCUGGUAGUCCACACCGUAAACGAUGGAUACUAGGUGUAGGGGAUAUUAA
Molecule: ribosomal RNA, 605 nt
Filed under: uncultured bacterium
Lineage: Bacteria
Description: bacterial SSU rRNA
Rfam family: Bacterial small subunit ribosomal RNA
Source: RNAcentral